UACGGAGGGUGCGAGCGUUGCUCGGAAUCAUUGGGCGUAAAGCGUACGCAGGCGGCUCGCUAAGUCGGGUGUGAAAUCCCGGGGCUCAACCCCGGAAUGGCGCCCGAUACUGACGAGCUUGAGUGCGGGAGAGGAAAGCGGAAUUCCUGGUGUAGAGGUGAAAUUCGUAGAUAUCAGGAGGAACACCGGUGGCGAAAGCGGCUUUCUGGCCCGACACUGACGCUCAUGUACGAAAGCGUGGGGAGCAAACAGG
This 253-nucleotide ribosomal RNA is filed under the name uncultured bacterium. Its description in RNAcentral is "partial 16S ribosomal RNA". It matches the Rfam family "Bacterial small subunit ribosomal RNA", at positions 524 to 776 of the family's 1533-position model. The record is from RNAcentral.